Long non-coding RNA from Cercocebus atys (sooty mangabey), 351 nucleotides. RefSeq lists it as uncharacterized. The transcript has 3 exons. The record is from RefSeq and is a predicted model, not a curated record. Lineage: Eukaryota; Metazoa; Chordata; Mammalia; Primates; Cercopithecidae.
UGAGACAACAAGAUGAAUUAGAGGAGCAGGCAAUUAUAAAUUCAAGACAUCAGACAGCUUCCAGGACUGAGCCUACCUAGAUAAAGUGCGAGGAGGCUGUACAGGAAGCGUGGCUAGGGGAGGCCUCAUGAAAUAUACAACUGUGGCAGGAGGUGAAGGGCAAGCCAUCAUGUCCUACAUGACUGAAGCAAGGGGAAAAGAGAGCAAAUGUAGAAGUGCUACAUACUUUUAAACAAACAGAUCUCGUGAGAAAUCACUCACUAUCACAACAGCAAGAGGGAAACUCACCCCUAUGAUGUAAUCACCCCCUACCAAGUUUCUCCCCCAACAUUGGGAAUUACAAUUCCAUAU